Molecule: long non-coding RNA, 837 nt
Filed under: Mytilus galloprovincialis (Mediterranean mussel)
Lineage: Eukaryota; Metazoa; Mollusca; Bivalvia; Mytilida; Mytilidae
Source: RNAcentral
UAAUAUAAAUUCUUGGUAUCUCUUCCUUCUGAACAGAUUUAAUUUAACGUUAUAAAACAUGUUUUAAAUAUUUUAACCGGUGAAAUGUACGUUCCAUUAAAGACGAAUUGACUCAACAAAUAAAUCAGUUUUUUGUUUGGUAUCCAUGUAUUUAAUAUUAACACUCUUCAAUAUAUAUUUAAACAAUUAGAGUUGAUUCACUUUAUUCAAAUAGGAACACAAUUCCCCAAUAUUAUACCUUAAAAAUGAUAACAGUUAUUUUCAAUAAACUUAUAUUUACUUGUCCCAACUUUCAACAUAUGAUAAAUGUGUUGAUCUAGAUACCGAAUUAUUGUUAAGCCAUUGUUCACUUGUACUUGUAUUAUAAUUGUCUUUUUGAUAUUCGCACUGGUAGGUUGUUAUACUGUGGAUUCAUUUAUUUUCGUGGGUAUCAAUUUUCGUGGAUUGAGAAAAACUUGUAUAUUCGUGGAUAUUUGAUUUUGUGGUUUUGUCAAUCUGUGCACACAAAGCCAUAGAAAAUUUGUAAUUCGUUGAACAUUUGAAUUCGUGGUUCACUUAUACUCACGAAACCCACGACAAUUGAUAUCCAACGAAUAAUAAUGAAUCCACAGUAUUUCUGAAUUGCCAUUAUCAGUUGGAGUGGCUGUUGGUCGUCCACCCUUUGUUAUUCUGUUAUUUACAAUUUCUUCAGCAUUCCCAUUUUCGGCUUGAUUCUGACAGUUCUGCUUAGAAUAUUUCUAGGGUAGAACUGAUCUAGGUAGUAUAAAAAAGAAGAUGUGGUAUGAUUGCCAAUGAGACAACUAUCCACAAAAGACCAAAAUGACACAGACAUUAACA